Molecule: non-coding RNA, 284 nt
Organism: Pelobates cultripes (western spadefoot toad)
Lineage: Eukaryota; Metazoa; Chordata; Amphibia; Anura; Pelobatidae
Source: the annotation of a GenBank genome assembly
CUUGUGAAUACUAAAUUAUUAUUUUAUACAGACACUAGUAUUUAAAGUGCCAAAUUUUAUACAUUUUAAGUGGGCUAUGUUAUAUCCCCCGGCUUUUUAUAAGUAUAUUUUUCAAUAUAAAAAUAACAAAAAAUAAAAUUAACUGGGAAGAUUUUCAACUACCAAUAGCUAAUAUGUAUGCCCCAUAGGACAUUUCGUAUGUAAAUUAAUUAAUUGUUAACCAGGGUUUGAUUAACCCGUUUAGAUUAGGGUUGAUUAAUAACCAAAAGUUAGUACAAUGUUAG